RNAcentral lists this transfer RNA (68 nucleotides) under Marmota monax (woodchuck). RNAcentral describes it as "tRNA.Ala". Lineage: Eukaryota; Metazoa; Chordata; Mammalia; Rodentia; Sciuridae. The record is from RNAcentral.
GGAUUGUAGCUCAGUGGUACAGUGCUUGCCUGGCAUGUGUGAGGCACUGGGUUCAAUUCUUAGCACCA